Long non-coding RNA from Hyaena hyaena (striped hyena), 172 nucleotides. RefSeq lists it as uncharacterized. Lineage: Eukaryota; Metazoa; Chordata; Mammalia; Carnivora; Hyaenidae. The record is from RefSeq and is a predicted model, not a curated record. The transcript has 3 exons.
ACAGAUUUCGAACUUUCCUUGUUGAAUGCAGCACUCAGUCUUCUAUCUUCUUUGUUACUUUUUUUGGAGGGGAAAGGUGGGGGUUCAUCAUGCAGAUCACCUCACUACUGCUCAUCAGGAUUAUUACCGAUGGUUAAAAGUCUCAGGUCACAUUCCCCGGGAGGCAAAUCUG